UACGAAGGGGGCUAGCGUUGCUCGGAAUCACUGGGCGUAAAGCGCACGUAGGCGGAUUGCUAAGUCAGGGGUGAAAUCCUGGAGCUCAACUCCAGAACUGCCUUUGAUACUGAGGAGCUUGAGUCCGGGAGAGGUGAGUGGAACUGCGAGUGUAGAGGUGAAAUUCGUAGAUAUUCGCAAGAACACCAGUGGCGAAGGCGGCUCACUGGCCCGGUACUGACGCUGAGGUGCGAAAGCGUGGGGAGCAAACAGG
This 253-nucleotide ribosomal RNA is filed under the name uncultured bacterium. RNAcentral's name for it is "partial 16S ribosomal RNA". It matches the Rfam family "Bacterial small subunit ribosomal RNA", at positions 524 to 776 of the family's 1533-position model. The record is from RNAcentral.